Molecule: ribosomal RNA, 425 nt
Filed under: uncultured bacterium
Lineage: Bacteria
Description: bacterial SSU rRNA
Rfam family: Bacterial small subunit ribosomal RNA
Source: RNAcentral
GGAAUCUUCCGCAAUGGGCUCAAGCCUGACGGAGCAACGCCGCGUGAGUGAGGAAGUUCUUCGGAACGUAAAGCUCUGUUGUUCCUGACGAACCUCCCUUCUAUCAACAACGGAGGGGACUGACGGUAGGGAACGAGGAAGCCACGGCUAACUACGUGCCAGCAGCCGCGGUAAUACGUAGGUGGCAAGCGUUAUCCGGAUUUAUUGGGCGUAAAGCGAGCGCAGGCGGUUUCUUAAGUCUGAUGUGAAAGCCUUCGGCUUAACCGAAGAAGUGCAUCGGAAACUGGGGAACUUGAGUGCAGAAGAGGACAGUGGAACUCCAUGUGUAGCGGUGAAAUGCGUAGAUAUAUGGAAGAACACCAGUGGCGAAGGCGGCUGUCUGGUCUGUAACUGACGCUGAGGCUCGAAAGCAUGGGUAGCGAACA